UAAUAGAAUUUUCAAAUGUAUGUUGAGAUAUAAACCAAUUCAUGGUAACAAAAAUUGAAUUCCAGGUAAUCUGAUUGAGUUUAAUUGCUACUUUGUUUGGGUUUUAUCUGUUAUUGGUGAGCCUUAAAUCUGUUUUGAAAUCAACACCGGUCCGCUUUCUGAACCCUAUUACUCUUCAUCUCUCUCAACUAAAGUUCUAAAUCUGUUUUCCGGAGGAAGAGAUAUAAUGACGAGAUCUCUGUUGUCGACAUGAAGGAAAGACUACGGAGGAUUAAGUUAAGGAAGAUGUGCAAGUAGGGUGGUAAUUGGGGGGUCGUAGCUGGAGCUUACGUGAGAAUGGAGUAUGGAAUGGAGAGGGUCUGUGGUACCAGCGAUUAGAAGAAUGCAAUGCUCGGGGGUGCUGCUAUGGGAGCUUUGGUGUCUGCAGCUAGCAGUAAGUAACAAUGGAGAGAAAAUUGUGACAAAUACAAUAGCAGGAGGUGUUAUCGCCACAGCUGCAGAGUUUAUCAAUUGUCUUGCCUAAGCCAAGAGAAAUAAAUGCAUCUAUGAUUUGGCCUGUAAGAAAGAACAAAUACCUUAUGUUGCUUAGUUAACAAUUGCAGUAA
Papaver somniferum (opium poppy) is the source of this 605-nucleotide long non-coding RNA. RefSeq lists it as uncharacterized. Lineage: Eukaryota; Viridiplantae; Streptophyta; Magnoliopsida; Ranunculales; Papaveraceae. The record is from RefSeq and is a predicted model, not a curated record. The transcript has 4 exons.